Molecule: ribosomal RNA, 487 nt
Filed under: uncultured Leucobacter sp.
Lineage: Bacteria; Bacillati; Actinomycetota; Actinomycetes; Micrococcales; Microbacteriaceae
Description: partial 16S ribosomal RNA
Source: RNAcentral
CACGUAGUUAGCCGGUGCUUUUUCUGCAGGUACCGUCACUUUCGCUUCUUCCCUACUAAAAGAGGUUUACAACCCGAAGGCCGUCAUCCCUCACGCGGCGUUGCUGCAUCAGGCUUGCGCCCAUUGUGCAAUAUUCCCCACUGCUGCCUCCCGUAGGAGUCUGGGCCGUGUCUCAGUCCCAGUGUGGCCGGUCACCCUCUCAGGCCGGCUACCCGUCGUCGCCUUGGUGAGCCACUACCUCACCAACAAGCUGAUAGGCCGCGAGCCCAUCCUUCACCGAUAAAUCUUUCCCACAACAGACCAUGCGGCCAUUGUGCAUAUCCAGUAUUAGACACCGUUUCCAGUGCUUAUCCCAGAGUGAAGGGCAGGUUGCUCACGUGUUACUCACCCGUUCGCCACUCUUCCACCCAGCAAGCUGGGCUUCAUCGUUCGACUUGCAUGUGUUAAGCACGCCGCCAGCGUUCGUCCUGAGCCAGGACUCAACUCU